GGGCUCGUGGUGUAGCUGGUGAACACACCUAGAUUGUCAACUAGAGAGAUGCCGGUUCGACUCCGGUCGAGUCCA
Molecule: transfer RNA, 75 nt
Filed under: Candidatus Woesearchaeota archaeon
Lineage: Archaea; Nanobdellati; Candidatus Woesearchaeota
Description: tRNA-OTHER
Rfam family: tRNA
About the family: Transfer RNA (tRNA) molecules are approximately 80 nucleotides in length.
Source: RNAcentral